RNAcentral lists this long non-coding RNA (346 nucleotides) under Homo sapiens (human). RNAcentral describes it as "HSALNT0362892". The record is from RNAcentral. Lineage: Eukaryota; Metazoa; Chordata; Mammalia; Primates; Hominidae.
CACUCACGUGGUGGAGAGGCGGGGCAAUAGUUGGAGAUGAUUGGUUCUGAGAAUUGGCUGUGAAAGCGGCAUUGCUGACCAGUGAGAGAGACCUAAUGAGGAGCAGGCCGGGGCAACCAAUGAAAUCGGAGAAGAGCGCUUGGGGGCGUGUCCGCCUGCUUUCAGCCUUUGCUAAAAUCAGUCAUCUUCCUGCGAAGGCAUGAGGAGGAAAAGAGAGGAAGUAACUGAGCGAUAAUAUGCUGUAUGAGCCUCCUGCUCUGCUGCCCAUUACCUGCGUCACCUCCACAAGCUACUGAACCUCAAGGAACCCAUCUCCUCAUCAGGAAAAAAAAUAAGCUUUAUGUAG